UAAUACCAAAGAAGAAGAUCCCUUUGCGUUUGUAGCGUCCAUUCUGUUUGUCCUUAGCCGUGCACUGUAGCUAGCUAGGAAGUUGAUGUCAUCCCAUUUCACAUGAUGUGUAGCGACGUCCAAACAUCAAAACAUUGCUAGCAAAUUGUAAAAAAAAAAAAAUGGAUAGUAACAAUAUAAUUCCAUUAAAUAACGACAGUAGACGCUGUAUUUUCUUUAAUACAGAUUCUGACGACUAUCGAUGUGUGGUGAUUCUCACAGUGAAGCGAGCCACAGGCACCUUCUCACUGAUAGGAUGCUUUUUCAUGCUGUUUGUAAUCUGGCUUCUCCGCCGGUAUCACUCCUUGGCCCAGAAGAUGAUUUGCAGUCUGACAGUUGCGGCCUUCUUUGACAGUGUAGCGUAUGUCAUCGGUGAUACCCAUCCAGAGGGGAGUCUGUGUAACUUCCAGGCCUGGUGGCUCACUUAUUUUGACUGGAGUGCCUUGGCCUGGGUGUGCCUGAUCACAGUGAACCUCUACCUUAACCUGGUCAAAGAGAUGAGCACCAGCCGCUACGAGCUACUGUACCACCUGAUGGCCUGGGGGGUGCCCCUGGUGAUGGCCUCCCUGCCCCUGUUCAGUGGAUACUACGGCCCAGCAGGAGCCUGGUGCUGGAUCACAGGCAACCACGUAGCUUGGAGAUUUGGGAUAUGGUACGUCCCACUCUUCACCCUCAUCUUCCUCAUGAUCUGCUGCUAUGCCAGAAUAAUCUACGUAGCCAAUGAGAGGAUGCAGUCAUGGUUUGGCACCUUUAACCCAGAGAGGGAGAGGAGAAAGGUGUCUUUGGCUGAGGAGAUAAAGCCGUUGAAGUGGUAUCCAUCCGUUUAUCUCCUGGUGUCUCUGUUCCCCCUCAUCAACAGGCUCCAUAAUGCGUUCUACCCCCAGGACCCAGUGUUCUCUCUUACUUUGCUCCAUGUCCUUUCAGCCCCUCUCCAUGGCUUGGCCAACGCAUUCGUCUUUGGCCUGGACAGAGACACCUGGAGCCAGCUCAGUCCUACAGGCAUACAGUUGGCGCUGCAAUCUCGGCUGUGUGACAGGACGCGUAUCAGGGAGUACCAUCCUGGGGCGGUGCACUACACACAGGCUGAGCUGGGGGACUUCAGUGACGAGGAUGAUGAUGACACCAACGUCCUUUUCUACUCCCCUGACAUGACCCUGAAAGACAGAGGACCCUAA
This 1214-nucleotide long non-coding RNA is filed under the name Oncorhynchus kisutch (coho salmon). RNAcentral's name for it is "lncRNA (ENSOKIG00005029317.1)". Lineage: Eukaryota; Metazoa; Chordata; Actinopteri; Salmoniformes; Salmonidae. The record is from RNAcentral.